This 244-nucleotide ribosomal RNA is filed under the name uncultured bacterium. RNAcentral describes it as "partial 16S ribosomal RNA". It matches the Rfam family "Bacterial small subunit ribosomal RNA", at positions 554 to 793 of the family's 1533-position model. The record is from RNAcentral.
CUUGGCGUAAAGCGCAUGCAGGCGGCCUGUUAAGUCAGAUGUGAAAGCCCCGGGGCUUAACCUCGGAAUUGCAUUUGAAACUGGCAGGCUAGAGUCUUGUAGGAGGGGGUAGAAUUUCAGGUGUAGCGGUGAAAUGCGUAGAGAUCUGAAGGAAUACCAGUGGCGAAGGCCGGCCCCCCUGGAACAAAGACUGACGCUCAGAUGCGAAAGCGUGGGGAGCAAACAGGAUUAGAUACCCUGGUAG